This 523-nucleotide ribosomal RNA is filed under the name uncultured bacterium. Its description in RNAcentral is "bacterial SSU rRNA". It matches the Rfam family "Bacterial small subunit ribosomal RNA", at positions 8 to 518 of the family's 1533-position model. The record is from RNAcentral.
AGAGUUGGAUUAUGGCGUCAGGACGAACGCUGGCGGCGUGCCUAACACAUGCAAGUCGAGCGGGGACAUGCGACGGAGAUGAAGAUUCGGUUGGAGUCAAAGAUGUAUUGUUCUAGCGGCGGACGGGUGAGUAACGCGUGAGCAACCUGUCCCUUACAGGGGGAUAACACAGCGAAAGUUGUACUAAUACCGCAUAAGACCACAGAUUCACAUGGAUCAGGGGUCAAAGGAGCAAUCCGGUAAGGGGUGGCUCGCGUCCGAUUAGAUAGUUGGCGGGGUAACGGCCCACCAAGUCGACGAUCGGUAGCCGACCUGAGAGGGUGAUCGGCCACAUUGGGACUGAGACACGGCCCAAACUCCUACGGGAGGCAGCAGUGGGGAAUAUUGGGCAAUGGGGGAAACCCUGACCCAGCAACGCCGCGUGAGGGAAGAAGGUUUUCGGAUCGUAAACCUCUGUCCUUGGUGAAGAGGAAGAGACGGUAGCCAAGGAGGAAGCCCCGGCUAACUACGUGCCAGCAGCUGC